GAUGAACGCUGACAGAAUGCUUAACACAUGCAAGUCUACCAAGAAUCACUUCGGUGAGGAAUGGUGGCGGACGGGUGAGUAACGCGUAAAUAAUCUGCCCUUUAGACUGGGAUAUCCUUUGGAAACGAAGGUUAAUACCGGAUAUUAUGAGAUGGACGCAUGUUCAACUUAUGAAAGCUAAAUGCACUAGAGGAGGAGUUUGCGUCCCAUUAGCUAGUUGGUGAGGUAAAGGCUCACCAAGGCCACGAUGGGUAGCCGGCCUGAGAGGGUGAACGGCCACAAGGGAACUUGGACACGGUCCUUACUCCUACGGGAGGCAGCAGUGGGGAAUAUUGGACAAUGGACCAAAAGUCUGAUCCAGCAAUUCUGUGUGCACGAUGAAGGUCUUCGGAUUGUAAAGUGCUUUCAGUAGGGAAGAAAAAAAUGACGGUACCUACAGAAGAAGCGACGGCUAAAUAUGUGCCAGCCGCCGCCGUAA
This 478-nucleotide ribosomal RNA is filed under the name uncultured bacterium. RNAcentral describes it as "partial 16S ribosomal RNA". It matches the Rfam family "Bacterial small subunit ribosomal RNA", at positions 28 to 523 of the family's 1533-position model. The record is from RNAcentral.